GUCCCCGUAGCUCAGUUGGAUAGAGCGUUGGUCUCCGACACCAAAGGUCGCCCGUUCGAGUCGGGCCGAGGACACCA
RNAcentral lists this transfer RNA (77 nucleotides) under Gammaproteobacteria bacterium HGW-Gammaproteobacteria-1. RNAcentral's name for it is "tRNA-Arg". It matches the Rfam family "tRNA". Rfam says of the family: Transfer RNA (tRNA) molecules are approximately 80 nucleotides in length. Lineage: Bacteria; Pseudomonadati; Pseudomonadota; Gammaproteobacteria. The record is from RNAcentral.